Long non-coding RNA from Pygocentrus nattereri (red-bellied piranha), 1575 nucleotides. NCBI's taxonomy places the organism in Eukaryota, Metazoa, Chordata, Actinopteri, Characiformes, Serrasalmidae. The record is from Ensembl.
GGGCUUGCGUGAGAAAGGCUAUCUGAUCGAGGCAAAGUUCUCCGUUGAUGAAAUUAAUUUGCAAAGGGGCAGUUUAAUGUCAUAUAAGUAUGCAGUGCUUCAACGACAGAAGGUAAUAGAGGAAAUUGCCACAAGAUACCACCAGAUCCCUAUUGAUCACUCUGUCAAAGAAAUGCACCUUUUUGAGGCUCACAUGAGUCGCACAGGAUCAAUUAAAGACUGGCUGAGGAGCUUCAUUAAGUCUGCAGAUAAAGUCAUUUCUGAGGCUUGGGAGAAUUCUGCGCAUUUUCUACUGGACAGAUUGUUUGAGAAAUGGGACCCAUCAAGUCAGAAGAGUGUUCUGACAUUCACACAACUCUUAAACAGCUAUAAGAGGAGUUUUCACGCUGCCAGAGACCAUGUGUUUUACUUUGACAAUGUGCCUACUCCUUUUGUGAAGGUCAGUGUAAACCUUUGAUUCAGUGCAACUUACCUGGAGCUUUGAAGAACUGCUCCACAACAUCAAAUCAUGACUCUGUGUUUUAGGUGUCAGAACUGAUAGCAAACAAACUGGUGAAGAUACUGAAUGGAGAAAGAGGGGGAAGAACUUCAGAGAGCUCAGCUGAUGUCAGUCCUCUGACGACGGGCCUCUCAGUGUUCCAGGUGUGCUGUGCGUGUUGUAUUGAGCUUGGAAUUAAAGACUGGGGCAAAGUUUGUCAGCUGGUCUCCACUAGUCCUGCCCUGGGACAAUUAGAAGAAAUUCAGAAUGCCUUUCCAGCAUUACAGAACACAGUGUUGGGUCUGAUGAGCUUGUGUGCUCGGAAACUGGUCUCAGAGCUGGUGCUGCUGGUUCCUCUCCUCCACACUCUGAGGCAGCCAGGGGCAGACUCAGGCCGGCUUGGAUGGACUGUGGAGGAGUCAGACUGGACUGGGCUGCACUUUGUGGAAUUUCGUCCAUUCAGAGAGAAGAUGAGAAGACUCCCUGACAAAAGGAGGAUGAUGCUCCGUAUGGUCCAAGAUCACAUAUCACUGGUCAAGAAGAAUCCUCGGAUUUUGAUCAGCUGGCUGUCCAUGAUGGCAUUUGAGGAUAUUAUAGAGUUUGCCAAAAUGACAGAGAUUGUUCCUGAAUAUCUGAUUCAGGGCCUGAUGUACAGACUGAAAGUGUUUGAACUGUGCACUCAUAACACCGCUCCUCCCGAUUCACAGAAGAACCUGCAGAUCACUGAAGAGAUCCUGAGAUAUGUUAUGAAGUGGAAUGAGCAGGACAUAAAAAGAAUCACAGCCUCUAAAAGAUUGGAUGCUGUGUUUCAGUGUUGCAGCAAUGUUCAUAAGAGUACGUGCAGAAUAGCACGACAAGAUAUCCAAAUGUUCAAGGCUGCAGUGUUAUCUUUCCAAUUGGUGCUGAAAUUGGCUGAAAUUCAGUAUGAAGCACUUUCAAAGAGUGGAGACGAGAAAGAUCUGGAGAAAAAGCGUCUUGUCUCACAGCUUGAACAAAUGCAGAAGGAGUUCAGUCAGUGGAGGGAUGGACUGCUUCGCCGACCUCUGCUCCACCAGUCCACGCUGUCUUACCCCAGUGAAAUCGAAGUAGAAGCUUAA